GGUAGGUGAGGCCCGAGCGAAGAAAAGUGGAAAAAGAGUGUUAUUCGUCAAAAAACCCACACAACGACGGUCAUUUUUUCGCCGUGCUAUUGUAAAAUUGUCUUUUAUCUGUGUUUUGUGUUCCGGGGGACACCGACUCCAGAAUUUGAAAGUUUCCCGCGUGAAGCCGUGGAGCUCGAGAUCCUGUUUACUGUGGACUAGCUGUGUGUGACGCCCUGUUGUUUUUGUUUCCAUUAAAAAAAAAAAGGAACAUGGAGUUGGGAUUUGCAAUCUGAGGCAGAGAAUGAGGAGCUGCCAGAAAAAAGGAACAGGAAGCCAGUCCAUCGUCUCGGGGACUUGGAUGAUAGCGAAGAAGACCCGGGAAAUGGUGACCUCGCAUCUCUGGGGUUGGCAAGCCAAUUGCACAGGCAGACUCCACCGUCUCGCCGAGUGCCAGCAAGAGUCAUGAGUAC
This is a long non-coding RNA of Entelurus aequoreus (snake pipefish), 452 nucleotides long. RefSeq lists it as uncharacterized. The transcript has 5 exons. Lineage: Eukaryota; Metazoa; Chordata; Actinopteri; Syngnathiformes; Syngnathidae. The record is from RefSeq and is a predicted model, not a curated record.